UGAGCUCCUGCCCCUACUACUGAUGCUGGCGCUCCAGCCUAGCUGGCCUUACCUCUCCAUCUAUUUCUGGGAAACUUCAGGAACAGGGUUGGGUUGGCGACCUCAUACGUGGUCAUGAACAAGCCCUUUCCUCUCAAGUGCUGUCCACAGAGGGAUUCUCUCCUGCCUUGCCCCCUGGGUGAAGUCUGCAGUGGAGGGUUUCAAAGUGUCUCACCACCACUUCCUGCUGGUCCCCAGUGCCUAUAAAUAUGCGGAAGCUUCUCUGUGGUCCACGAAUCCCCCCAAAGCACUGAAGCCAAGUGUGUUCUAUGUGGAAGGAGAAGACUCCUUUCUCCUUUGUGCCACAUUUGUCACCUGCCACCAAGUUAGGGCUCCCUGAGCCCCAGUGACUCGAGAUUCUAGUAGUCACAACUCUGCCAGCCUGGGCCUGUGGCUCCUGUAGGGUUCCUAACAGAGACUAGGUGAGAGAUGCGGCACACGGAGGUGAGGAGAAAGGUCACCCACUCAGCUGCAGCAUGGGGUGGGGGAAGCAACAAUAAGGUAAGGAAGGAACCUGCCUUUGCCCCCCGAAAACAUGCAUUUAUUUGGAGGUAAGUGCAGGCUUGCUGAAAGUCAGAGGGAGGGCAAAAUGAUGCUAAAGACAUGCUAGCAGUAAUAGUGAUGCUGGGAGUGUGAAGAAACAGCCAGGAGCUGUGGGGGAAAAGGAUCCAGUGUCUACCAUCCCAGGCCUCCAGGCCCAUUUCAACUCCCUCCUCUCCUGUAAAGCCUUCCCUGCACUCCCACUGCAUGGAACACUAACCCCUUGUAGCAGAUUGGGGCAGGGGCUUGAGAUUGGUGUUUGCUAUUAACAGGUGGGGGAGCUGAGCAAUGCCCAAAUGGAGGAUGGGAUCAAAACUGAGGUUAAGGGGAGCUUUGGGAGGCUGAGGUGGGAGGAUCGCUUGAGGCCAGGAGUUCAAGACCAGCCUGGGCAACACAAGACCCCCAUCUCCCCCCCAAAAAAAAUGGGGUAAGGGAAUAUUUUGAAUGAUUAAUUUUGACUUUAGAUAUUGACUUCAUUCAGAAAGAGACCUCUCAGGCAGCUGGGUAACUCCAGCCCAACUGGAAAUGCUCUUAGAAGGGAGAAAGUAUUGGCAGAACUGAGUCCAAGAUGAGUCCAAUGGGCAGGUCUCUCCAGGCACGUGCAGGGGAGGCUUGGAUGGGAGUCACUGAGUGUGUACAUCAAUGCACGUGCUGAAUGGGCAGGCCAAGAGCCCCAUGAUGGGUGAUGGUAGACACCGGGGCUUUGAGAUGCCCAGGAGUCACCCAAGCACAGCUGGUUGGCAGGCAGCUGGGAUCCUAAGAGGAGAGCCGACAUCCAAAUGCAUAGCAUCACCAUGAUUUCCCUUAAGCACCUCAAGUUCUAGACAUACCAAACUAAACUUCUCAUCUUCUGCCCUCCUGCUCUAUCAGCCUCUCCUCCUUGUGCUCCCAAUUCUGAAUGAGGACAUGCUCUACCCAGUCACCAAAGGCAUUCUAGCUUUCCUCUGAUGUCCUCCCCUCUGCCUCUGAGACCUUUCCCAUUCAUUCCCUCCUCCUCAGUGUCACCACUGCUCUAGUUCAGACCCUAGCCUUUAGCUGAAAUACCACAACAGUGUCCCAAAAGGCCAUCCUAAUUGCAGCAUGUCCAAGUUCCAUUCAGCUGUCAGAUUUCAACCAUGCACAUCUGAACAUUGCCCCGGGCCUGGUGUUGACACUCCAUUCACAUGUGAGGUCCUCAGUGACCUUGCUCCAGCACUCCUCUAAUAUCAGCUCCCUGUUCCCAACCUCCCAUCAUACAACCCCACCCUGAAUCCAUGCUAUUCCACACAACAGUGCCUUUCCCUGGAAUUCCCUCCCUCUCCCUCACCUCAGGAUCCUUCCUCUCAGCUCACAUUACUAGACAAUAUCACUGUAUUACUGCAGUUACUGACAUCUGCUGACUUCUAUCCAGGGUUCAUCCCAUGACCCCUGCCCCGCAGAGAUAACGUGGGCCAGAAAAGGUAAACUGGGAGGGAGUUGACGGUGAUCCUAGUGGGGCUGGUUCUUGGGAAAGGAGGUUCUGAAGCAGGGGAAGGGGUUAAGAAGGGAUAUCACUCUGUGGGAGUAGCAAAUCUCUCCACUGGCUUCCUCACAUGUUAAUAAAAGUUCCAUUCUUCAAGGCUGCUUCACAUCCACUAUCUGAUAGGUACUUCCCCAGCCCAUGAACCAAGCAGGUUAUGAAUACAUCCUAGUGUCAUAAGAGGAUGGCAGGAGGGGGAUUUUCCUUUAAAGUCCUAUGGAAACCGAAGUCCUUGGUCAACAGUUUUAAACCCUUCUAAGGAGAAACUCUGGAGGCCAAAGUGCUGCAAAUGUUAAAACCAUCCUAUGUGAACCUUUCUAACUUAGCCUGUCCAUGUGGGAGGUGAGUCUUAAGGGUCAACAUACAGAAAGCCCUGGGCAGGCCUGGGACAGGAUGGCUCAGGGUAAAAUUGUGCCAAGAACCUGGUACACAGAACAGUGGUCAAGGCCCUCUCAGUAGAUGACCAUAUACACCAGCACCUCCCACCUCAGUCUUGGCAUGGGGACCAAGAACAAAGCUUCUGCUUGCCAAAAGGAAAAGCCAGACAGACAAAAAUGUAGGGACCCCAGGCUUCUGUUAGGGUUAACCUAUGAUCAGCCAAGCAUGGCAAGAAGUAGGACUGUCCCCUGAGAAAAAGAGAACUCUUACAUCCCAUUUCCUUAGCCAAAGCAGUAUCUUAUUGGAAGAAAAAUUACUUAGGCCGCAUAUUUUUCCCAAUCUCAACCCACCUAUAUCUCUCACCCAUAUUAUUGCGAAGAUGGAAACUCACAUCAAGUAUUUUGAUAAUAGCUCAUCCUUGCUCAAAUCACUUCACCAAUUCUGGAUAUCCCAAGUCCUUUAAUCCUUAGGGAUUCUCAGUUUCCAUAUUUGUUUAAAAAAUUCAAA
Molecule: long non-coding RNA, 2962 nt
Filed under: Homo sapiens (human)
Lineage: Eukaryota; Metazoa; Chordata; Mammalia; Primates; Hominidae
Description: HSALNT0004584
Source: RNAcentral